CUACUUCUGAGGAGUCCCACAAUAGGACGAAACGGCCGUAGAGUGU
This 46-nucleotide non-coding RNA is filed under the name Schistosoma margrebowiei. Lineage: Eukaryota; Metazoa; Platyhelminthes; Trematoda; Strigeidida; Schistosomatidae. The record is from RNAcentral.